This 412-nucleotide long non-coding RNA is filed under the name Ananas comosus (pineapple). RNAcentral describes it as "long non-coding RNA (ACOM_LNC029565)". The record is from RNAcentral. Lineage: Eukaryota; Viridiplantae; Streptophyta; Magnoliopsida; Poales; Bromeliaceae.
AAAUUUACGAAAUUCAAUGUCUAAAUAUUUCAAAUGCCCGAUCUAAGUUAUAAUUAGCGAUAAGCAUUGUCAAUUCAGAAGCUCUAUAAUCGAAAUUGAGUCUUCAUACUCAUAAGAGUACAAUAACAUUUAUUACUCUCUCUCUCCCCCCUUCUCUCUCUAUAUAGAAAGAUAGAGAGAGAGUCCAUCUACUAUGCUAUAGUAAGCACCGAGGUUUUUAUACUAUCAAAUUAUUUUUUAUAAUGGGACAUUCUAAUCGACGAUCGGCCCUAUCAAACAUAAUUUAAACUAUUCGAAAUAUUUAGAUACCAAAUUUUAUAUUUUUUAAUAUUAUUUAAUUAGUAAUUAAAAAUAUUUCAAAAUUGGUAAUUUUAGAUUUGAUGCAUUUGAAGGUGGUAGAAAUAAAUAGAGU